GACGAACGCUGGCGGCGUGCCUAAUACAUGCAAGUAGAACGCUGAAGAGAGGAGCUUGCUCUUCUUGGAUGAGUUGCGAACGGGUGAGUAACGCGUAGGUAACCUGCCUUGUAGCGGGGGAUAACUAUUGGAAACGAUAGCUAAUACCGCAUAACAAUGGCUGACACAUGUCAUUUAUUUGAAAGGGGCAAUUGCUCCACUACAAGAUGGACCUGCGUUGUAUUAGCUAGUAGGUGAGGUAACGGCUCACCUAGGCGACGAUACAUAGCCGACCUGAGAGGGUGAUCGACCACACUGGGACUGAGACACGGCCCAGACUCCUACGGGAGGCAGCAGUAGGGAAUCUUCGGCAAUGGGGGCAACCCUGACCGAGCAACGCCGCGGGAGUGAAGAAGGGUGUCGGAUCGUAAAGCUCUGUUGUAAGUCAAGAACGAGUGUGAGAGUGGAAAGUUCACACUGUGACGGUAGCUUAACAGAAAGGGACGGCUAACUACGUG
RNAcentral lists this ribosomal RNA (497 nucleotides) under uncultured bacterium. RNAcentral describes it as "partial 16S ribosomal RNA". It matches the Rfam family "Bacterial small subunit ribosomal RNA", at positions 28 to 507 of the family's 1533-position model. The record is from RNAcentral.